GGGCCCGCACAAGCGGUGGAGCAUGUGGUUUAAUUCGAUGCAACGCGAAGAACCUUACCUGGUCUUGACAUCCACAGAAGAACCCAGAGAUGGGUUUGUGCCGAAAGGAGCUGUGAGACAGGUGCUGCAUGGCUGUCGUCAGCUCGUGUUGUGAAAUGUUGGGUUAAGUCCCGCAACGAGCGCAACCCUUAUCCUUUGUUGCCAGCACGUAGAGGUGGGAACUCAGGGGAGACUGCCGGUGAUAAACCGGAGGAAGGUGGGGAUGACGUCAAGUCAUCAUGGCCCUUACGACCAGGGCUACACACGUGCUACAAUGGCGUAUACAAAGAGAAGCGACCUCGCGAGAGCAAGCGGACCUCAUAAAGUACGUCGUAGUCCGGACUGGAGUCUGCAACUCGACUCCACGAAGUCGGAAUCGCUAGUAAUCGUGGAUCAGAAUGCCACGGUGAAUACGUUCCCGGGCCUU
This 466-nucleotide ribosomal RNA is filed under the name uncultured bacterium. RNAcentral's name for it is "bacterial SSU rRNA". It matches the Rfam family "Bacterial small subunit ribosomal RNA", at positions 917 to 1382 of the family's 1533-position model. The record is from RNAcentral.